AUUGAACGCUGGCGGCAUGCCUUACACAUGCAAGUCGAACGGCAGCACGGGGGCAACCCUGGUGGCGAGUGGCGGACGGGUGAGUAAUGCAUCGGAACGUGCCCUGAAGUGGGGGAUAACGCAGCGAAAGCUACGCUAAUACCGCAUAUUCUGUGAGCAGGAAAGCAGGGGAUCGCAAGACCUUGCGCUUUGGGAGCGGCCGAUGUCGGAUUAGCUAGUUGGUGGGGUAAAGGCCUACCAAGGCGACGAUCCGUAGCGGGUCUGAGAGGAUGAUCCGCCACACUGGGACUGAGACACGGCCCAGACUCCUACGGGAGGCAGCAGUGGGGAAUUUUGGACAAUGGGCGAAAGCCUGAUCCAGCCAUGCCGCGUGAGUGAAGAAGGCCUCGGUUGUAAGA
This 398-nucleotide ribosomal RNA is filed under the name uncultured bacterium. Its description in RNAcentral is "bacterial SSU rRNA". It matches the Rfam family "Bacterial small subunit ribosomal RNA", at positions 29 to 430 of the family's 1533-position model. The record is from RNAcentral.